UACGGGGGGAGCAAGCGUUGUUCGGAAUCAUUGGGCGUAAAGCGCGUGUAGGCGGUUCGGUAAGUCCGCUGUGAAAGUCGGGGGCUCAACCCUCGAAUGCCGGUGGAUACUGUCGGACUAGAGUACGGAAGAGGCGAGUGGAAUUCCUGGUGUAGCGGUGAAAUGCGCAGAUAUCAGGAGGAACACCAAUUGCGAAGGCAGCUCGCUGGGACGUUACUGACGCUGAGACGCGAAAGCGUGGGGAGCAAACAGG
RNAcentral lists this ribosomal RNA (253 nucleotides) under uncultured bacterium. RNAcentral's name for it is "partial 16S ribosomal RNA". It matches the Rfam family "Bacterial small subunit ribosomal RNA", at positions 524 to 776 of the family's 1533-position model. The record is from RNAcentral.